RNAcentral lists this ribosomal RNA (253 nucleotides) under uncultured bacterium. RNAcentral describes it as "partial 16S ribosomal RNA". It matches the Rfam family "Bacterial small subunit ribosomal RNA", at positions 524 to 776 of the family's 1533-position model. The record is from RNAcentral.
UACGUAGGGUGCGAGCGUUAAUCGGAAUUACUGGGCGUAAAGCGUGCGCAGGCGGUUUUGUAAGACAGAUGUGAAAUCCCCGGGCUUAACCUGGGAACUGCAUUUGUGACUGCAAGACUAGAGUGUGUCAGAGGGAGGUGGAAUUCCACGUGUAGCAGUGAAAUGCGUAGAUAUGUGGAGGAACAUCGAUGGCGAAGGCAGCCUCCUGGGAUAACACUGACGCUCAUGCACGAAAGCGUGGGGAGCAAACAGG